GACGAACGCUGGCGGCGUGCUUAACACAUGCAAGUCGAACGGAAAGGCCCUGCGUUUGUGGGGUGCUCGAGUGGCGAACGGGUGAGUAACACGUGAGUAACCUGCCCUUGACUUUGGGAUAACUUCAGGAAACUGGGGCUAAUACCGGAUAGGAGCUCCUGCUGCAUGGUGGGGGUUGGAAAGUUUCGGCGGUUGGGGAUGGACUCGCGGGUUAUCAGCUUGUUGGUGGGGUAGGGGCUUACCAAGGCUUUGACGGGUAGCCGGCCUGAGAGGGUGACCGGCCACCUUGGGACUGAGAUACGGCCCAGAAUCCUACGGGCGGCAGCAGUGGGGAAUAUUGCACAAUGGGCGGAAGCCUGAUGCAGCAACGCCGCGUGCGGGAUGACGGCCUUCGGGUUGUAAACCGCUUUCGCCUGUGACGAAGCGUGAGUGACGGUAAUGGGUAAAGAAGCACCGGCUAACUACGUG
RNAcentral lists this ribosomal RNA (468 nucleotides) under uncultured bacterium. RNAcentral describes it as "partial 16S ribosomal RNA". It matches the Rfam family "Bacterial small subunit ribosomal RNA", at positions 28 to 507 of the family's 1533-position model. The record is from RNAcentral.